Molecule: ribosomal RNA, 468 nt
Filed under: uncultured bacterium
Lineage: Bacteria
Description: partial 16S ribosomal RNA
Rfam family: Bacterial small subunit ribosomal RNA
Source: RNAcentral
GACGAACGCUGGCGGCGUGCUUAACACAUGCAAGUCGAACGGAAAGGCCCUGCUUUUGUGGGGUGCUCGAGUGGCGAACGGGUGAGUAACACGUGAGUAACCUGCCCUUGACUUUGGGAUAACUUCAGGAAACUGGGGCUAAUACCGGAUAGGAGCUCCUGCUGCAUGGUGGGGGUUGGAAAGUUUCGGCGGUUGGGGAUGGACUCGCGGCUUAUCAGCUUGUUGGUGUGAUAGUGGCUUACCAAGGCUUUGACGGGUAGCCGGCCUGAGAGGGUGACCGGCCACAUUGGGACUGAGAUACGGCCCAGACUCCUACGGGAGGCAGCAGUGGGGAAUAUUGCACAAUGGGCGGAAGCCUGAUGCAGCAACGCCGCGUGCGGGAUGACGGCCUUCGGGUUGUAAACCGCUUUCGCCUGUGACGAAGCGUGAGUGACGGUAAUGGGUAAAGAAGCACCGGCUAACUACGUG